AUACGGAGGGUGCAAGCGUUGUUCGGAAUCACUGGGCGUAAAGGGCGCGCAGGCGGUUUGGUAAGUCAGAUGUGAAAGCCCACGGCUCAACCGUGGAAGUGCAUUUGAAACUGUCAGACUUGAGUACUAGAGGGGAAAGUGGAAUUCCCGGUGUAGAGGUGAAAUUCGUAGAUAUCGGGAGGAAUACCGGUGGCGAAGGCGACUUUCUGGCUAGAUACUGACGCUGAGGCGCGAAAGCGUGCGGAGCAAACAGGAUUAGAAACCCUAGUAGUCC
RNAcentral lists this ribosomal RNA (274 nucleotides) under uncultured bacterium. Its description in RNAcentral is "partial 16S ribosomal RNA". It matches the Rfam family "Bacterial small subunit ribosomal RNA", at positions 523 to 796 of the family's 1533-position model. The record is from RNAcentral.